GAGGUUGGUUGAUUCAAACCUAUGCAAUGAAAUCAGGCCUUUUCUUUUCUUUUCUUUUCAUCAGUAGAUAGAUGAGGCUAGCCUUGCAUUUACUGGGGAUUGGCUAUCAUCACAUACAAGAGUUAAUAUUCUUUUUGAAUAAAAAAAAUGACACAAGAUUUUGGCAAAUGAUAAUCUGUACUCCUUAAGUAGCAUAUUGGCUCAUGAAUAUGCUGAUAAUUGGAAUAUGACGGUCCAAUGAUCAAAAAGUCGUUCGCCUGACUGCCUAGGCGGCUUUCUCGUUCUUAAGGCGGUCACUAUUGGGCACCAGAACUAGGCAGCCGCCUAGGCGGUCGGGUGGACAAUUAGGCAGUUGAAAAGGCGCCCGCCUAGGCAGCAUGCAGGAGUUUGGCCAAAAAAAAUUUUGGGAGGGGAAAAAAAGGCCCUUUUACCCCUUUUAAGAGGGGAUAAGGGUUUGGGCGGCCAUUCUUACCCCCAAAAACAAUUUUAGUGAACUUUAGAGUGAGAAACAACUUGAAAAAAACUAGAUUUGAAGAUUUUUUGAGAGAUCAAUUUUGUUUUCGAAAUCCUCUAAUGGUCACUAUAUUAAAGGAUAUUCAACCCUAAUCUUUUUGAGGCUUAUAGGGGUUAUAAAAGGGGAGACUUGGGAUCCCAAACAUUUCGGUUUGGCCCGAAAUUGAGCCCACUUCAAGAAGGUUGGUAUAUUUCAAUAGUUUUCAUUAGGUUUUGUAUUUUUUCUCCUUAAUGUCUAAUGAUGUUAUUUUUUGCUAUUUGUAUUUUUCUUUGGUACUUUGUGAUAUAUAUUUGAUAUGCUAUUGUCUAUUUGGAUUAUUAUUUUAUUAGUCAGUUUAAUAAUUGCUCAAUUCUUGAUUGCUUAUUAAAUAAUUGUAUGUGUAAUGUGUUUCUUCGAUGUAGUUUGUGGCCUUUGUUGGUCGGAUAUAAGUUCAUACGACUUUUUGCUAAUGACUUUUCAAACUUUUGUGACUUGUGGGUGACUUGUGAUUUGGGAGAUUUAAUUGACAUCUCGAGUUCAUUUUAUCUUUUAAUGUUGAUUUCGAGUCAUAAUUAUUUUAUUUAUAGUCUAAAAGUUGUAAAUGUUUAAGUUGUAAAUAAUUAAACAGAUAAUUUUAUAUAUAAUAAAAUGAAGGGAGGUGUGGGGGAUCCAAAUUUUUUUAAAAAAUCACCAGCUGUUUUUGGGUCUAGGACACCCCCCCCCCCCCCCCACCUAGGCGGCCACCUCCAACUUAUUGAACAUUGUGACCAUCCAACCUUGAGUAGUUUCGACUUUUGAACAGAUCUUAUUUAUAGUUUUGGACUAUUUGUGUAUUGGCUAACAUAUUAUUAUGAGUUUUUUGUUUUGUUCAUCUAAUAUUCUCUUAUUAGCACGUAAAACAUAAAAAACAAUCUGUAGGGAACUUACUGGUCACCAAAAUCUUCCCUUGCAAAAAAGUGUGUGUUUUGAAAGUAUGAACAUGCUAUGACAUUGUAAUGUGUGAAGUUGAUUUGUUUGUUUCUUUUUCAG
This 1522-nucleotide long non-coding RNA is filed under the name Amborella trichopoda. RNAcentral's name for it is "long non-coding RNA (ATRI_LNC000047)". Lineage: Eukaryota; Viridiplantae; Streptophyta; Magnoliopsida; Amborellales; Amborellaceae. The record is from RNAcentral.